RNAcentral lists this ribosomal RNA (67 nucleotides) under Neisseriaceae bacterium. RNAcentral describes it as "partial 16S ribosomal RNA". The record is from RNAcentral. Lineage: Bacteria; Pseudomonadati; Pseudomonadota; Betaproteobacteria; Neisseriales; Neisseriaceae.
AGAUUAAAACGAAAGAGUUUGAUCCUGGCUCAGAUUGAACGCUGGCGGCGUGCUUUACACAUGCAAG